RNAcentral lists this ribosomal RNA (292 nucleotides) under uncultured bacterium. Its description in RNAcentral is "partial 16S ribosomal RNA". It matches the Rfam family "Bacterial small subunit ribosomal RNA", at positions 505 to 796 of the family's 1533-position model. The record is from RNAcentral.
GUGCCAGCAGCCGCGGUAAUACGUAGGAUCCAAGCGUUGUCCGGAUUUACUGGGUGUAAAGGGCGUGUAGGUGGAUUUUUAAGUCGGUGGUGAAAUCCUGCAGCUCAACUGCAGAAUUGCCUCCGAUACUGGAAGUCUUGAGUGCGGCAGAGGGAGACGGAAUUCAUGGUGUAGCGGUGAAAUGUGUAGAUAUCAUGAAGAACACCGGUUGCGAAGGCGGUCUCCUGGUCCGUUACUGACACUGAGGCGCGAAAGCGUGGGGAGCAAACAGGAUUAGAUACCCCCGUAGUCC